AGAAGGGAUGAGAUAAAGAAGGGAAGAGGUUGCAGGCAUAACUACGUGGAAGAACGUGCUUCCUAUGAGUUCCUCCUUUUCCCUUCUUACUCUCAUCCAUCAUCCUUGCUCACUUCACACCAUUACUGCACAAAUGUCGAACCUGCUUCUUCUACCUUCUCUUCCCCUCACCACUUCCCCUCACCGCUUUCAAACUUUUUCUUCCGCUUCUCCUCUUCAAUUCCAAUGCCGAUUCUCGCUUUCUCUCCUCUCUCCUCCUCACCACUCUCUCUCUCCCUUCCGCUCCCACGCGCGCAGAAGAGAACCUUCCCUUCGCGUUUUCGAUUCCUCUUCCGAGGCCA
Molecule: long non-coding RNA, 341 nt
Filed under: Vigna radiata
Lineage: Eukaryota; Viridiplantae; Streptophyta; Magnoliopsida; Fabales; Fabaceae
Description: long non-coding RNA (VRAD_LNC002268)
Source: RNAcentral